GAAGCACGCCAGACCGCCGCUGGUGCAAGCGCCGAAAGGCCGCACUGGAGGAACGUCCGGACUGCACAGGGCAGCGUAGCAGCUAACGGCUGUCCACCGUGAGGUGAGGAUCAGAGCAACAGAGACGAGUCCGAGUGGGUGCCGCCACGAGGUGUUCUGUGAGGCGCCAGCGCAAGCUGGCGAGAGGACAGCGAAAGCUGUCCGAACCCGGCGCAAGCCGGGUCCGAACAGCCACCCCGAGCGGGCAACGCCCGCUCGGGGUGAAACGGGCAAUCUCUACGCGCAGCAACACCAAGUAGGCACACGUUGACGGGGCCCCCGGAGUGUGCGGGUAGGUGGCAUCGAGCCGGGUGGGCGACCCCCGGCCCAGAGUAAUGGCGGUCACGCCCGGGCAACCGGGUGCACAGAAUCCGGCUUAUCGGCGCGCUUCACAC
RNAcentral lists this RNase P RNA (434 nucleotides) under Alicycliphilus denitrificans. RNAcentral describes it as "RNase P RNA component class A". It matches the Rfam family "Bacterial RNase P class A". From Rfam's summary of the family: Ribonuclease P (RNase P) is a ubiquitous endoribonuclease, found in archaea, bacteria and eukarya as well as chloroplasts and mitochondria. Its best characterised activity is the generation of mature 5'-ends of tRNAs by cleaving the 5'-leader elements of precursor-tRNAs. Cellular RNase Ps are ribonucleoproteins. The record is from RNAcentral. Lineage: Bacteria; Pseudomonadati; Pseudomonadota; Betaproteobacteria; Burkholderiales; Comamonadaceae.